GGCGGGGUUGGCUCUAACGAAUUUGAAUGAGGAGCCUCAGCGCUUUCGGCGCCAUUUUCGAGUGAUGCCUGAUCUCAUCAAUCUAGCGGGAGAGACAGGAUAACCUGUCCGAGAGUAUAGCGCCACUAUGACUCCGCCGGAAAAAUUACUUUAAAAAUCGCCAAAAAUUACUUGGAGCAAAGGGCAGUCGGCGGAGCUUCGCCAAGGCUGGCGCAGUCGGUUUAAUAAUGAUAGAAUGAAGACCACAAUAAAAGAGACCUCUACUUAGCUCAGCAAUUCUUACCUUUCUUACCUAUUUGAUGAAGAUGUCUUUUGAAAGGUGUACUGCAAGGAACAAAAUGUUUGUAAAUUCUCCUUUUACCAAGGUGGAUAAUUACUGUACCUUCCUCAUGGAAAAAGUUUUAUUUAAAGUGUUAUUUCUCAUUGAAUACUAUCAAAAAGGAAAAAAAAAUGACCUAAACUUUUGAGAUAGAUUUGGCUCUAGUAAGUAUUUAGUUAUAUCACUUGCAUAUCUGGGAGAAGAAAUAAGAGACUAUCAUCAGUACAUUCCCAUCUACUAAAAAAAUUUAUUUUACACAUGUCAAGGGAUUACUUAUAACUUCCAUUUUAUUACUAAUAGCUUGAACCCUUUUAAUGAAGACCUAACUCCUCCACCAGAAAUUUAAGUUUAUGUUCUUACUUUGUUUACUUAUAAAAUACAUCUCAGGUAUUUCGGAUGUCUUUUUUUUUUCUAAGCCUAUAUGAAAUGAAAAAUAUAUUGGCAAAAUAAAUGUUUAAACCUUUUACGUUAAAAUUACUUUGAAAGAUGAAAAGUUAGUGCUGUUUUUGUCUACGUUAUACUGAAAUUAAAUGUUUAUAAUUUAUAUUUUGGGUUUAUGUAUAAAUCAUGGAAUUUAUGCAAAAAUAUGAGUAGUACAGAUUCUCCUCUAAUUCUGUAGGACUUUGAAUAAUGUGAUAUUUUUCUUAUAAUUGGACCCUUGUGUUUUGAAGAAAUGCCAACUGCUUGAAGAAUCUCCUUGUUAUUUGUAUUAUUUGCUAUAGGGUUAGAUGUUGAGAAAUUCUGCUGACAAAAAAUUUUAAGCCAGUUUUACACUAAAUGUUCCUCAGUCUGAUUAAUUUGUUAUUGGAUGUAUUCUGUAUCUUUCUUUUGUAAUUUGUAACUUUUAUCCACUUAGCACGAAUGAUUCUAUUAAAGAAAAUCAUUAGGAAGUGGUAGAAACUUUAAAUCGCCCCAGAGUUUGCCUGUUUCCAUAUUUUAUUAUCUUAUAAUCUUCGGGAGUGCUUACACUUAUGGAGCUAACAUUUUCAGAGAUACAGCUUCUUAUAGUAACACUAAAACUUUCUUCCUCUUUGGACUGAAUACCUAUAAUUAUAACUAUAUGGUAGUUUAAGUUUCCUUGUGAUUAGUCAAAAAUACCAUUUUAGUAUGAAGCAAUGAAGUCUAUUAUUUGUUGUCCCAUAAUUGAGAAAGCUUAAAUACACCUUUUAUUAAGAGUUUGUAAAUUCUAGCUUAGUCUACACAGAUUUUUAUAUCAAUUUGUUUAUAUUUUUAUUAAUGUCAUUUCUGGAAGUGUGAAAAUGUUAAUGUUCAACAAGCAACAUUAAAAAUAGAUUUGAAACAUUUAUAUAUAGAGAGGUACACAUUUAUUUACUGUUUAGGUACUGAAGAUUAUCACUUAAUAAAAAAUAUAUAUCCCA
Molecule: long non-coding RNA, 1698 nt
Filed under: Homo sapiens (human)
Lineage: Eukaryota; Metazoa; Chordata; Mammalia; Primates; Hominidae
Source: RNAcentral